This 497-nucleotide ribosomal RNA is filed under the name uncultured bacterium. RNAcentral's name for it is "partial 16S ribosomal RNA". It matches the Rfam family "Bacterial small subunit ribosomal RNA", at positions 28 to 507 of the family's 1533-position model. The record is from RNAcentral.
GAUGAACGCUGGCGGCGUGCCUAAUACAUGCAAGUCGAGCGAACGGACGAUAAGCUUGCUUCUCUGAUGUUAGCGGCGGACGGGUGAGUAACACGUGUAUAACCUACCUAUAAGACUGGGAUAACUUCGGGAAACCGGCGCUAAUACCGGAUAAUAUUUUGAACCGCAUGGUUCAAUAGUGAAAGACGGUCUUGCUGUCACGUAUAGAUGGAUCCGCGCUUCAGUAGCUAGUUGGUAAGGUAACGGCUUACCACGGCAACGAUGCAUAGCCGACCUGUGAGGGUGAUAGGCCGCACGGGAAGUGAGACACGGUCCAGAGUACUACGGGAGGGAGCAGUAGGGAAUCUUACGCAAUGGGCGGAAGCCUGACGGAGCAACGCGGCGUGAGUGAUGAAGGUCUUCGGAGCGUAAAACUCUGUUAUUGGGGAAAAACAGAUGUGGAAUUAAAUGUGCAGAGCGUGACGGUACCUAAUCAGAAAGCAACGGCUAACUACGUG